GUGGGGAAUAUUGGACAAUGGGCGAAAGCCUGAUCCAGCCAUGCCGCGUGUGUGAAGAAGGUCUUCGGAUUGUAAAGCACUUUAAGUUGGGAGGAAGGGCAGUAAGUUAAUACCUUGCUGUUUUGACGUUACCGACAGAAUAAGCACCGGCUAACUUCGUGCCAGCAGCCGCGGUAAUACGAAGGGUGCAAGCGUUAAUCGGAAUUACUGGGCGUAAAGCGCGCGUAGGUGGUUUUGUAAGUUGGAGGUGAAAUCCCCGGGCUCAACCUUGGAACUGCCUCCAAAACUACUGAGCUAGAGUACGGUAGAGGGUAGUGGAAUUUCCUGUGUAGCGGUGAAAUGCGUAGAUAUAGGAAGGAACACCAGUGGCGAAGGCGACUACCUGGACUGAUACUGACACUGAGGUGCGAAAGCGUGGGGAGCAAACAGGAUUAGAAACCCUUGUAGUCC
RNAcentral lists this ribosomal RNA (450 nucleotides) under uncultured bacterium. RNAcentral describes it as "partial 16S ribosomal RNA". It matches the Rfam family "Bacterial small subunit ribosomal RNA", at positions 354 to 796 of the family's 1533-position model. The record is from RNAcentral.